This 306-nucleotide ribosomal RNA is filed under the name uncultured bacterium. Its description in RNAcentral is "partial 16S ribosomal RNA". It matches the Rfam family "Bacterial small subunit ribosomal RNA", at positions 507 to 809 of the family's 1533-position model. The record is from RNAcentral.
GACAGCAGCAGCCGCGGUAAUACGUAGGGUGCGAGCGUUAAUCGGAAUUACUGGGCGUAAAGCGUGCGCAGGCGGUUCGUUAAGACAGAUGUGAAAUCCCCGGGCUUAACCUGGGAACUGCAUUUGUGACUGGCGAGCUAGAGUAUGGUAGAGGGUGGUGGAAUUUCCUGUGUAGCGGUGAAAUGCGUAGAGAUGUGGAGGAAUACCGAUGGCGAAGGCAGCCCCCUGGGCCAAUACUGACGCUCAUGCACGAAAGCGUGGGGAGCAAACAGGAUUAGAUACCCCCGUAGUCCCUGUCUCUUAUAA